AAGUCCCUCCGAGAGGGGCGGCUCCGCGUCAUGUGACUGGAGUCCGCGUAGGAGGGGUCGGAGGUCUUACCCAACAGAUUGACGCGGCGUUAGUAUUGGCCGUGUACCCGAAAAACUGAUUGACUGGGCUGGCGUUAACUGUGCGGAGGCAGGAUUUCCCUGGGGAAAGUCUUCACUCAGAGCUUCGCUGACAGCCAAGGAUGGCAAGCAAGGGGCCCUCGGCCUCUGCAUCUCCUGAGAACUCCAGUGCAGGGGGGCCCAGUGGGAGCAGCAAUGGCGCUGGCGAGAGCGGAGGGCAGGACAGCACUUUCGAGUGCAACAUCUGCUUGGACACAGCCAAGGAUGCCGUCAUCAGCCUGUGUGGCCACCUCUUCUGUUGGCCGUGUUUACAUCAGAGAGAAGACCCCUCCUCGUCCUCAAGGACAGAGGCCAGAGCCGGAGAAUAGAGGGGGAUUUCAAGGAUUUGGAUUUGGAGAUGGUGGCUUCCAGAUGUCUUUUGGAAUUGGGGCAUUUCCCUUUGGGAUAUUUGCCACAGCAUUUAAUAUAAAUGAUGGGCGGCCUCCUCCAGCUGUCCCUGGGACACCCCAGUAUGUGGACGAGCAGUUCCUGUCACGCCUCUUCCUAUUUGUGGCCCUGGUGAUCAUGUUCUGGCUCCUGAUUGCCUAAUGCUGGGCUCCUGCCUACAUCCGUGGCAGGGCUCUGGACUGGUGACGUGCCACCCCAACUCCUGGUGUUUGGCUUCCUGGCUAAUCUUGACUCCUGGAAUCAGUGGGAUCAGUAACACAUCAAGGAGUCUUGUUUCUUCAUCAGAGCUUUGGAACUCGAGACCAGUUGGCGAUGACCCCUGAAUAUCGCCACCGCUGUAAACACUCUAUAACUUCAGGCCUUGGCAUUGAGUCAUCUCUCAUGGGUGACACCAUGAAAUCUUGUUUCAGCCAGUUCUGCAGGUCCUGACUCUGCAGAGGGAAGAGGCAGAAAGAGAGAAACUGUCAGAGUAUAAUUUCACCUGAGUUUAAUAUUACAGAAACAAAGGGAUGCACCAAAUGGUAUUUCUGGAAAUUUUCAUGUCUUUAAAUACCCCUUGGUAAGUUGCUUCUGAAGCCAGUGGGGGCUCCUCAGAUAGAGAGGUUCCCCUUUCAAAUCCCAGUGCCGCUCUGUUCUCUUUCCUUCCCCUCCCACUCCCCCUCUUCUUCCUCUGUAGAGAUGCAAGAAAUUGCUGUCCCAUAAAAAUCAUAAUUGCAGUAGCUAAAGCUGGGGUCACUUCGUGAAUUCACCAGAGACUCAAAGAUCUUUUAUUGGCUCUGGGCUGUGCUCAGUGUCUUUGGCCUCAGAGAACAACUUGAAUGACUUCCUGGUUUCCUGGCAUAAAUUAUUCCUGGUGAGACAUGUGGCUUAACUCACAGGUUUCCCAUCAGCUUUCUCCCUAAAACUAUGUUCAUCUGCCUCUCUCUGCCAGAGAACAUACAGCCGAGAAUACUGCCGAAGCUGAGACUGACUACUGUGCAUUAGGAAAGACCUGGAGUCAGGACUUUGGUGGGAUUUGGAGCUCCGAGGCAGUAAUAACUGAACAAGCAGCCCUGUCCCCUAGGCUGCAGAAGCUUGAAUGCAUCCUCUCCCAGAACCUGCCACAGGAAACUGGGGGCUUUGUCAGGUCAGCCCAACUGCAUGCAAAAGACCACCAUCCUCAGAAGCCAAGUUGUCUUUUAUGAAGAGGCAAGGAAAGGGGAAACCCACAUGUGACCCUGAUUUUGGUAUGGCUUGAUAGAGUUCCCUGAAAACUCCUUGUAUGUGUGCUAAAACCAGGGAAGCAUGUGACUGCCAAGCAGGCAACCCCUGAUGAUUUGUAAAGCCAGGUGGCAGGGCCUUGGGGAGCCCCAGCACAAUGAUAUUGUGUGGUCUUCCCUCCUGUGGAAUCGAGGGGAAAUUAUUCUUCCCAAUACCUUGAUUUGAUUUUCAGUUUCAUAAGCUUCUUCCUCUGAAUCUUAUUGAGGGACUAUGGUACCAAGCAGGUAGGACUGUUCACCUGGUGGAACAGUUCUUGCUCUGCCUUCUAGGCUUCAUCCCAGAAAUCCAGCCUCUUUCUGGAGACCCCAAAGCUGGAGGGAGAUGGGCUUUCCUCUGGGCCUCUCUCCUACUUUGCCAUCCACACUGCUCCUGGCUAACCCCAGCAAUAACCAACAAAUGGUAGGAAGCCCCAUCUAUUGCUUUUUCUCAAUUAUGACUGCAUAGUUUAUGGAAACAAAGAUCUUGAGGAAGAUGAGGGAAGCCCUCCCCUCUUCACAGUCCCCAUCUCUUCUCCUUUGUACCUGUCAACACCAGAGUUCAGUGUUUAAACAGACAAAAUAUAAAGUAUUGAGUAGGUGGUUCAUAUGCCGAAUCCACUUGGUAGGAAGAAACCACCAGCUUUAUAGUGUGCCUGAUAGAUUUUAAACAUUCCUGGGCACCCACUCAAGAGUGCUCUUUUUAUCACCUUCUGGAAAUCCGCAAAGUUGCAGGGGCCUCUGGAGUGUCUCUUCUCUAGAGAGAAUUGGUGGGACCCCCCUCAGUGCAGUGGCCCCAACUAGUGGAGGGAGAGAGGACUUAAGUCAGAUGGACUCAACAGAAAUGGGUUUCCAGAAGAAUAAUGAAAAGUUGUGGGUAGGAAAAUGAAUCAUUUGGACUCUUCAAUGAAAUGGAGUGAGCCCAGGAGAGCUCAGCCAACAGAGGCACUCUGGGAACCUGUUAGUAAAGCCAGGCUGGCCAAAUGCCAUUUGAUUUUGAACCUCGUAGGUCCCCACUCACCCUCUGCCAGGAGCUAAGUAAGGCAGGAGAGCUGACUUGGGACUCCUGGCUCGGCCCCAACAGGGAGCCCCCUUCCCACCAUCCCUCGGCAAGCUCACCACCUCAUCCUUCUGCCAAGGCAGCUUUCCUUUCUUUUGUGUGUUUUCUGUGUUCUUAGCCUCCACCCUCCUCCUGCCACCCUUGUGGACUAGGACCAGGUCCUGACCCCAGUCAGAAAAUGAUGAUAUGUACAGUGGCACACCUUAACCAGUCACUAAUUUUCACUGUUGUGAAAGUGAUUUGAUUUAGAAUUAAACAAAUGGUUUUACAUUACUAUGA
Molecule: long non-coding RNA, 3099 nt
Filed under: Homo sapiens (human)
Lineage: Eukaryota; Metazoa; Chordata; Mammalia; Primates; Hominidae
Description: long non-coding RNA NONHSAT192253.1
Source: RNAcentral